This 24363-nucleotide long non-coding RNA is filed under the name Physcomitrium patens. RNAcentral describes it as "long non-coding RNA (PPAT_LNC004512)". Lineage: Eukaryota; Viridiplantae; Streptophyta; Bryopsida; Funariales; Funariaceae. The record is from RNAcentral.
AUAGAGCAAUUUUCCGUUUUAAUAAUUUCCCACACAACAGAAAAAUGUCAUGGAGACAGAGUUCGCACAGAUCUUGGUGGUGCAACUCGAAUAGCUUAAAUCGACGCUUGUCUUCGAGGCAGCCUAUUUCUCUGCAUUAAACAUGUUCAUUAUUCCUCAAAGGCAUGUAAUUGUUAAUUGAUCCAACGUUAUUAUGCUCCUUGGCGCAGGAACAAGUCAAACUUCACACAGCCAUGGUAAUUAGCCUCUGACUUGACACAUCUAUUCUCUAAACUGCAAAUACGUCGAAGAGUUGAAACUUGCCCAUCGAGGCAUAAUCUCUACUCCUGUUAUCACGAGAUCAGUAAAAAAACAGCAUUCUAAACCCACAUCGCAUGAGUUUGCAACCGAAUAACGUUACCUAAUGUUUAGAGUUAUGGUUUGAGGGCCGCAGGAUUGUUGUGACUGCCACCAUGUUCAACUGGUCGACGUUUGCCUGGUAAUUAGCUAUUCUUCGGUAAACCUCGUUUGUGAGCUUAGCUUCGCCCUGUUCGAAAUUUUGCAAUGGGGUUAUUGGAGAAACUAGAAUUAUCCUGUCUCUACGUAGGUGUUGUGUAUGGUGAGAAAUCUUUUCCACUGAUUUGUGGGUUGAGCGUCGAAUUUCGCUUUGAUCAGGAACAUCUCUGAAGGGCCUUCAAUCGAUGUGCCUGGCGUUGAGAAACCAGUGCGCUGUGUGUAAGUUUCACUGCUUUGAGUUUGUGCAUAUAUAUAUAGUUCUUGAUAAUUUUAUCAUUUGCAGCAGUGUCAGUAAGUACGUACGUAUGUGUGUGUACAUAUAAAUGUACUCAAUAUAAUUUACCAAUGUUAAUCAUAGUGUAAGCGGAUAUGCAGAAACGUUUCAGUUCCAAAUCCUUUCCCCUGGACUUCUCCAGAUAUUUCUAAAUUGUGAGAUACAAUUCUCACCACAUUGUAUUUACUAGAGAGGUUCAUUGAGAUAGAGUUCAUUUUGAUUUGUAUGUUUUAUUGUAUCUGUUGAAAUUUGCCAUGUUUAGGAGCUGGCAUUUGGUGUUUGUAUAAUGGAGUUUAUUUAAACUAUUUUUAAGAUGUCGUUCAUGAUUUGUGUCAAAAUUACCCUUUAGACAUGGAUGAACAUAUAAAUUAAUAAAUAAAUAAAAAUUGCAUUUUAAUAUGUGAAUGUUGAUGAUGUAGGAACUUCACAUUUCCAGUGUUUCCGCCUUCACAGAGGAGUCCAUGGUUCAGUGUUAUAAACAGAACCACCUUCCCACCUCUUCCUUCUAUUCCUUGGAAUCCUUUUAAAUUUGGUCUAUCUCCUCUACCUCAAUUCCAACCACCUAAUUUUACAUUUCCUGAUCUUCCUCCCUUGCCCCAACUUCCUCCUUUAAAUUUCACAUUACCUCCUUUACCCCAACUCCAUCCUCUUAAUUACACAUUUCCACCUUUGCCCGAAGUGGUCCCUCCUAAUAUCACAGUACCACCUUUAUCUCCUCUUCCUUCCAUUCCACCUCUCAUAAAUGACCCCGUUUUUAACAUCUCAAAUAUUACUUCAUUCCCACCGUUACCAAGUGUUCCACAAUCUCCGCCACUUCCCCUACCAAAUAUCACCUUACCAACAUUUCCACCCCUUCCACCCCUCAAUUUCCCCUCUUCCAAUGUGUCUAGAUUUCCUCCCAUUUUUAACACUACUUUUCCAAAGUUUCCACCCUUGUCUCCAAUUCCAGGACUCCCAAGUGUGGGUGUUGGAGUGAAUGGUAGUGUGGGUGUUAACACCACCAUUCCAAGUGUUGGAAUUAAUGGAACUGUUUGUGCAAACGCAACCACUCCGCCAAUUGGGUCACCUCUUUCGGGUACCAUUAUCAAUUCUACAAUCCCUUCACUACCACCUAAUUUUACAUUUAGUAAUCCACCACUCCCUCACCUUAUGGCUCCUAAUUUCACCUUUGUGUUUCCACCUUUGCCUCACUUCACACCACCCAACUUUACUUUCCCACCUCUAAAUCCUAAUUUUACACAUUCCAACUUUACUCUUCCACCACUUCCCGAGUAUACUCCACCUAAUAUAACAUUGCCAUCAAUCCCACCUUUGCCUCAAUACACACAUCCUAAUUACACCUUGCCCACCGUGCCACCAAGUUAUGAGAUUUUGCCCCCAAAUUUCACAUUUCCUCCCUUGCCUCAAAUUGUUCUACCAAUUAAUCUCACUCUUCCUCCAAUUCCUCCCUUCAUACCACCAAAUGUGACUCUCCCACCUCUUCCUACUAUUACUAAACCUAAUUUCACCUUUUAUGAUAUUCCACCUUUGCCACAAUAUGAGCCUUCUAAUUUAACUUCACCUCCUCUUCCAGAACUCACACCUCCAAAUUUAACGUGGCCAUGGCCAUGGUCCAUUGGAAUUAAUCUCACAAAUAUUACUAUUGGGGCCCCUUUUCCAUCCAUCCUACCUUUGAAUGAAAGUAUUCCUAACUUGCCUCCAUUGCCAUCUAUUUUCCUUCCAAACUUUACAGUUCCGGGUCAAUCUAUGUAAGUUUUCAAACUAUGAACCCUUGUUUACUUUUCUUGAGCUUUAGAAAUAUCAAUAGUUUAGUUUUAUAAAACUUUUUUAUAAAAUUGUUUUAUAAAUUAUUUCUUUUAUCCAUGAUGAAGAAAAUAAAUUACCAAUGAUUUUUCGUUUUAAAUUCUUCAUAAUUAUGAUUAGUUUGAACAAUAAUAAUAAUAAGUAGGCAUACUAAUUUUUGUGUUCAAUUCAUGUUGUGAAUAGAUUCAACUUUACAAAUCCAUAUCCUGGAUACAAACCUCCAAUGUAUGUAGAAAAAUCAUUAUAGCAGUUGUUAAUAUUGCUUCCCUUUGAUAUUUUCCAUUGCAAACUGUAUAUUAGAAUUUGAAGAAUAGCAUGCAACUAUUUAUUUAUUUAUUUAUAUAUAUUCAACCAGACUUGUAUUCUUCAUAAAUUACAUGAUAUGUUUUUUGAAGCUAAACUUGUUUGUGUAUACUCACAUAACCUUUUAUAUUUAUAGGUAUGUUUGGCUUUUAUUUUAUGCAGGCCUGGAACACCUCCUUGUGAUGAUAUAAAAGAUGAAAAAUCACAAGUGCUUGUCAAACAUAACAACAAAACACGCCACUUAUUGGAGCUUGAUAAUUCGCAUUUGUAAGACACCUGAAUUCAUUUCCCAUACCAUUUUUUUUUUUUUUCAUUUCAUUAUUCUUUUUGCUAUAUUUUAUUUUUUCAUUUAAUUUUAAUAUUUAUAACGUCAAUAACAGUUAAACUAAUUUAUAUUGUGGUGGCAAUUGUAGAACUCAAGGUCAUCAGCCUCAAAUGAGUGGUCUUCACAAUCUAAAAUUCCUGUAAAAAUUUCGAUUUUCCAAUAUUUUUUGUAAAUUAUUAUUUCAUCACAUUAUUUUAUAAUGUGUGUUUACAUAUUUUUACAUAAAUGCCUAAAAAAAAAUUAUAUACAACAUCUUACAAUACAUUCAAAUCUUUCAUUUUGGCUAACUCAUUCUUAGAAAAGGUAUCAUUCUUUUUAAUUAAUUUUUUGUUCUAUUGUAUUCACUAGUAUUGUGUAUGCAUGCAGAGAUUUGUCAAACAACGCUUUUACUGGAAAAAUUUCUGAGAAUUUGAAUGCUUUACUUCCCAAUUUGAAGCAUGUGUAAGUCUUCACAAUGAAGGACUGGUCUCAAAUUAAAUCAUGCGAUGUUAUUUUUUUUCUUAUUCAUUACUUGUAUGCUUAAUAUUUGAACACUAUAGUAUAUUUCUAAAUUCAUAUUUAUAUAUGUGUUUAUAUAUAUUUAUUAUUUUUCAAAAUGAUGCUAUAGAGAUUUAAGCAACAACAAACUUGAAGGCCACGUACCACAAGCCCUUCUUAAGUCCAAACUCAAAUCCAUGUAAGACAAAUAAUUAUAUAUUUAUAUUGAAAUUUUGAUCAUGUAUUUUUUGCCACAUGCAUGAUUUUUUUAUUUUUUUAUUUUUUUUCUCAACAUGUAAUUUUCACAUUUUUACUUCAGAAAUAACAUCAAAUGAGUAUUGCAUAAAAUUAUUAAAAAUGCAACAUUGAUUCCAGUUUAAUGUACGUUUUAUUGAUUAUUACACAUUACAUUGUCUAUUUUUGUUUUAGAAAUUUGGCAAACAAUUAUUUUAGUGGACGGCUUCCACGCAUGAAAACUCAAAAAUAUGACCUCUUGUAAGUAUUUGAAAUUUAAGAUGAAAAAAAAAUCGAAUUCUUCUAGAAAAUUUGUGGAUUUCGUCUCACUGUCUUUUUCUUUUUUCUUCCCUUUUCUUUUGGAUACCUAAUGAAAAAAAUUAUAUAGAAAACAAUUUAAUUUAUUCAUCAAAUAUAUUGGUCGAUUUAUUCAAUGCUGCAACAUACAAAUCCAAUACAAUGCAACAUUAACAAUAAUAAUAAUAAUAAAAUACCAAUAAAAAGAUUUAAUAUGGAAUCUGGUAUGAUUUUAGGGAUGUAAGCAAUAAUUGCUUAACUGGUAUUCUGCCCAGAAAAUCUGCAAAAUCUUCCUCUGAGUAAGUUUGCAUCCCACUUUAUAAGUUUAAUUGUGAGCUUCUUACUUUGGGUUUUAAAAAAAACAAAACAAAAUAAAUCAAUUGCAUAAAACUUAUUCAAUCAUGAGUUUCAUAAACAAUUUUUUCUUUUUUUUGCCCAUUCCAUCCACAGGUUUUAUUAUGGCCAAAAGUGUCCGCCAAAUUCAAAGCACUGUAAGUGUGGUAAGUUUAACAAGCACAAUCCAUAGUUUUCAUAUAAUGUUCAUGAUAUUUGAUUUUUUUAAUGUGUAUUAUUAUGUUAUAUAUAUAUAUAUAUAUAUAUAUAUAGUAAGUUAACUUACAUUCUAGUACUCUAAUUUUUAAGGGUUUCUGUUUAUUUUAUUUUGUUUUUUUGUUAUGUGAUUUGUACAGCAGUUCAUAGAGCCAAGUGAUAUGGAUGAAGAAAAACACACACAAACAUAUUUUGUAGGUAGGAAAAUGAAAUAAGUUGAUGAAAAUCGUUGUCUUUAUGGCAACUGAUUUUUCUUUAGAAUAUAGAAGGGUAUGAAUUAGGAUUAAAUAAAUGGAAGGAAAAGUAGAGCUUAGUAUGUGGAGUUUUAAACUAAAAUGAGAGCAAAUCCUUUACAAUAGUUUAAUAAAUGAUAAAGGAAUAGAGAAUAAACAUGUUAAUAUUGCACUAAAAAAAAGGACCCUUUUCAUGUGUGUAUGGGAGAAAUAACUACUGUGCUAGUUUGAAAAUUAGUUGAUUUUAUACAACUAAUAAAUUUUCAUUACUUUAACAAUAAUAAUAAUAAUAAUAAUUUCAAUAUUUUGUUACUAAUUUCAUUAUUUCUAGAAGAAAUCUACGAAAAAUUUAUUAUAAAUCCAUUGCAAUUAAAUGAUAUUUAAACAAGUUGUGAUACUAAGUUUCAAUGUAAUUAAAAAAAAAAUCAAGUAAAUGAUUAUGAGAAAUCUUAUGAAUCCAUUCAAUGGUUGAAACAAAAAGAAAGAUUACCCAUUUAUUUAAACGUCUUUUACUAAGUAGAGAAAUUAACUCACAACAAUUCUAAUACACUUGUUGUGACAUUAUAACACACUGAAAAUCCUCAAUCAGACUAGUUUUGUUAAAUAAUUCUAUUACACGUCAAUAUGAAAUUUUCCAUAAAAAAGAGUAAAAGUAAAAAUAAUAAAUGAUUAAAAAUCAGAAUUUCAUACUUCAUUAAAAUAAUUAUAAAAAGAUAAGAAAAAAAAAUCACGAAAUAAAACACCCCUGAGUAAUAUUUUUUUAUUGAAGCACAUACAUUUAUAAUUAAGAUAGUUACAUCUUUGCAAUGUAAAGAAUAAAAUCAAAAUAAAUUCUGUAAGUCAAUCAAGCUAACAUUGGAAUUUGUUUUAAUUUUUUUAAGUUAAGUGAAAAAGAAAGAAAGAAAAAAAGAAGUAAUGAAUAAUAUAAUGAUCUAGUAAAAUAUUUGUGUUUCUUUUAGACCCUCUAAGAAUGUUUAUUUUCUAAUGAAGAAAGGCCAUUAAUUGUUGUCAAAGAGUAUAUAAGUAAACAUGUCCAUCUUUUUGUUGUCAACAACAAACUUAGAAGGGUUUUGAUUGAUUUUGAUGGAGCAUUCUUUUUUUCUUUUUUUGAUAUAUAAUCUUUUUGACAAAUUAAUUAUUACUGUUCAAUGAUAACUGGUGGUAGUUUAUACCAUCGAUGUUUGAAAGGGCUACUUUUUUGGGAAACCAAUAAUGAUGCAAAUUGAUAAUGUAUUAUUAUUACUACAAAUUUCUUUAAUACACAUGAAGGGCAAAUAUGAUUAAAGAAUUUUAAAAUUAGAAGAGCUUUAGCUAUAUGGCACCAAGUUGAAUCUCAUUUAAAAAAUUGAUAAUCAUUUUUUUAUCAACUUGUAUCUUUGACUUUACACCUUUUUAACUAAUAUUGAGCUCUAACCCUAAAUGUUGUCUUUUGAUCAAAAGAAUAAAAUAAAUAAACAUAUGCAUGUCUGUGUAUGAAGAAUUUGGCAUUGAGUUGAUAGUAAACAUAAAGAAUUAGGUUUAAUUUUGUAAAAUUUUAGGAUUUAUAAAGAGGUAUUUUUAUAGAGCUAAAAAACCAUAAGCUUAUUUGAUAGCCUUUUUAUUAUAAAAAUGGCAUAAAAUCCAUUGAAGCCAAAAGAAACUAAAUUUGAAAUCCUUGUACUUUUAAAAAUGAAAUUUUGUCAUUUUGGAUUUUAACAAUAUACUUUGGUGUGGACUCAAUUUUUUAUUUACAACCUAAAUACUUCAUAAACUUUAAUUUUAUUGGGAUUUAGUUUUUUAGUUUGAUUAUGAAAAUGCAAUGAAAAAAUUUGAAUAAAAAUUAUAAAUAUUAUCUCAAAAUUUUAGUAUUUAUGUACUAAAAUAUUCAUAUAUAUAUUUAUGUAUGUAUGUUCAAUAAAAUGACUAAAGAUUAUGUCCAAAUCACUAAAAACAUGUACUACUCUUUUAUAUGUGGCAUCCAAAGCAAUUGUUAUAUUGUUAUAACUCACUAUGAUUGCACCCUAUUGAGGCUUGUUGCUUCUAAAUUUAAGAGACGCAACUACAAUAACAAGGGUAGUUACAUUAUAUUACAUUGUAAUCAAAGUUGAAAACUCUUCCAAAAGAAUAUUGAUACCUUAAACUUCAUUACUUCAUCUCAUGUAUAUCAUAAUCCAGUUGGAUUUUGUUGUUUUUGGAAGAAUUGUUUAGACAAUAUACACCAUAAUCAUGUACUUUGUUUGCCAUAUUUGGGAUUCAAAUCUAGUAAUUUAUUUUUUAAAAUUAUUUUUUUAACAAUACUUACAAUCUUUCAGAUAUUCUACUUUGUAAAACUAAAUACAAGCUAGAAAUACCAAUUCACGUUUACUCUUGUCAAAGACAUGAAUCUCAAAAGAAGAAAAUCUUCAAUACACUCUUGUAUCAAUGAAAGAAAUUAGAAAGUCACUUAAAGAUGAUAUAAUACUGAAUUGGAAUGGCUAUUGCCAAAAACAAGAAAACUAAAAAGUCUUGAAAUAAGACUAAAGAUUAGAAAGGUAUUGAUAAGAGUGAAGAAGGCUUCACUCUUGCCUCCCUAUAUACUCUCUAACUAAGAGCUAUAUGGCAAUAUUCUAUAGAACCUCUAACAUGUAUUGACUUUGCUAGCCACAUGUCUUAACUUGCAAAGUAAGUUAUCUAUGUAUGCACCACAUAGUUAGCUUGUUCCAUAAGUUACCAACAUGUCGUUAACUUGUUGGCCAAGUUUCUAUCUUAUAAAUAUAUCUAAAGUCAAAACUGUGUCUAUGAAACUUCUAAAAAGUUUUUUUAGGAGAUUUUAUAAAAUUAAUUUAUAUUUAUCUACUUCUACCUAAUCAUAUAAGUAACUAUUGAGAUAUAUAUAUAUAUAUAUAUAUAUAUAUAUAUACAUCCAUGAUAUUAUCUCUUUUUUUAGUAACACGUUCAACAAGGAGCAGUCUUCAUAUAUUGAGAAAGUCCAAGAUGCGAUGAAUUGUAUUUGCCACAUACUCCGAUCUUUCAUCUCUUCAAAGAUGGUUGAUAGGCCUUCUCAGCCAUCAAUAGUGUUCUAUAUCAGGACAAGAAGACCACCCUAUUAUUUGGUCAUUGUUGAGGCCUUAGUAACUUUCUUUAAAUAAAACAUUUGAAACACCGUCAGGAGUUGUUCUUACCUCUAAUAAAAUCACCAAACAUCGGAAGACUCUUCUAAGGUCGUGAUAUCAAAUAUGUUAUAUCUCACCAUCUAUUCGAGGAAGGACAUGUUAUUCUUGAAGAUCUUCAUCUUCAUUUUAUCAUCUUGAAGGUUGUGACAAUUACAAUGUCUCAUUUGAUAAGUCUACAAAUGAAAGCUCUUGAGUUGAAUCUAUUGGUUGUUGCUUCUCCAUCUCCUUAACUAUAUACAAGCUAGAAAGAAGGAUAGAAAAUAGAGUGUUAUCUUUCUUUGGUCUUAUUUCUUUUAUAGGAAAGAUUUGCUAUUCUUCAUCUUAGUUUUGAUGGAUGUUUUUGAUGAAAGGCUUCAAUUCUCUUUACCACAUUUAUAAGAUUCUUUGAUGGCUCCCAUGUUUGUUCACUAAUAUCAUAUCUGUACCAGUGAAGAAGAUAUUCCAACUUAUUUUAACGCUGCCUUGAGUCUAAGACUUCUUCUACUUUUAAUUCUUAAUUAUUAUCUACUUCUAUAGAAAGAAGUGGCAUUUGACUUCUUCUAAAGAUAUUCAUUGUCUUAUAUGGCUCAAGAAGGGAUAUGUGAAAUAGAAGGUGGAUCUUCAUAGACUCCAAUAGAUAUAAUCAAUAAGCAAUAAGAUUGAUUUAUUCACAAAUAAAAAAAGGCCCCAGCCUACAAUAAUGUAACUUAUCAGAAGGACAAGUAAUCUUGGUAUUGCAACAAAGUAACCAUAUCUUAUUACCUAUGUUGAAUUGUGGUUGUUCCUUGCAAUAAGCAUCCAUAUUGGUCUUUUGUUGUUCUUGAGCUUCUUUUAAUUGUAUCUUCAUUGUUGCAUGUAGCUCUGACAAAUAAUUUGCUAAAUCUUCUUCCAUAGGAUUAUCAACUUUUGAAAAGUCAAAAAUAUCAAGAUUUUGAUAAUAACCAUAAUUAACAAAGAAAGGUGUUUUUUCAAUAGAAGAAUGUACCAAAUUAUUGUAUGCAAAAUCUGCCAAUGGUAAAAGAGUUGUCCAAUCAUCUUGAUGGUACACCUCAAAUAUUACUCUAGAACUUGAUUCACCUGUUCAGUUUGCCCAUCAAUUUGAGAAUGAAAAGCUAAAGAAAGCUUUAUAUCCACCUUUAAAAUCUUCAAUAGGAUUUUCUAGAAUCUUGAUACAAAUUGAGUCUUCCUAUCCAAUAUAAUAUCCUUUGGCAAUCUAUAAUAGCAAUGGAUAUUGUCAAUGAAAAGCUUAGUUGUUUCUUUACCUGAAAUAGAUUUUGUACAUGGUACCAUUUUGAUGAAGUAAUCUACAAUUACAAAUAUAGAAUCAUAUAAACUUAAGACUAUAAGAUCUGUAAUAAAAUCUAUAGAAACGGAAGAUCAUAGUUGCUUUGGAAUUGGUAAUAGUUGAAGAAGUCCAUAUGGUCAAAGGCAAAGAGUUUUGGAUCUUGAACAAGUAUCGCAUGAUUGUACAAAGUCUUUGACUGCCUUCCACAUUUGAGGCCACCAAAAAUCUCUUGAUAUUAGUUCCAAAGUCUUAUUGUAUCCAAAAUGACCGGCUAUUGGAAAAUCAUGACGAGCUUAAAGGACACGUAAUCGUACCUUACUUUUUGGAAUAUAUAGGCAAUUUUUGAAAUAUAGUAUGUUGUUCUUGAACUCAAACUUUGAAGUGUUAUAGAACUUAGAAGAAGUAUUUUUAAUAUCAUGAAUAAGAAGAUCAGACGACAUACUUAAUUGAAUUUGCUUGACAAAAGUUGAAUCAAUAGUCAAUGUUGAUUUUAUUGCUUGAAGAUGAAAAUACCUGGGCUUUAAGAGAAUUGUUCUUUGUUGAUCAAAAGAUACAUCUUCUUCUUUUGGUACAAAAUAAGAAUUUCUAGAAAGGGCGUCUGAUAGACCUUAUUGUUUUCUUAGUCGAUAAGUGAUCUUGAAAUUAAAUCUGGAUAAAGAUGUGCUCUAAUAAGCUUGACAAUGAUUCAAAAUACAUAUUGAUAUGAAGUACUUGAGGUUCUUAUGAUCUAUAUAUGCGAUGACUUGACUUAAAGCGCCUUAUAGAUAAUGAUGCCAUUCUUGAGAGCUCUUUGUCAUGGAUCUCAUAAUUAAUCUUGGCUGCUAAAAAUUUCCUAAAAUAAAAAGCUAUUAGAUAGAGUUUGUCAUAUGUUUCCAUUUAUGACAAUAUGAUAUUUAUAGCAAAUUCUAACACAUGUAUUUCUAUAAAAAAAAUAUAUUCAAAAAAUCAAUACAAUACAAGAUUGGUGCAAAAAUAAACUUCAUUUUUAAAGCAUCAAAUGAUACUUAUGUUUCUUUAUUCCACUCAAAUUUGUCUUUAUAAGUCAAACAUGUAAGUGGAGUUGUAACUCGAAAAAAGUUCUUAAUGAAGAUUUAGUAGUAAUUAGCAAAAUUCAAAAAGUAUUGUACAUCUCAUACUGUCCUUGGAAUCUUCUAAUCUAUGAUAGUUUGGACUUUCUUAGGAUCCAUCAUAAGGCCUUUGUUGGAAAUAAUGUAUUCUAAAAAGUCAACUUGAAUAAUAUAGAAUAUACAAUUUUUCAACUUGAAAUAUAAUCUUGCAUCUUUAAUUUUGUAUAAUAUGUGGUGAAUAUAAAGUUCAUACUCUUCUAUUUUUUGAGUAGAUUAGAAUGUCGUCUAAAUAAUAAAUAACAAAAUCAUCCAAAAAUUCAUAAAAAAUAUCAUUUAUAAGAUGUUGAAAAGCGAUCAAUGCAUUCGUGAGUCUAAAAGACAUGACAUCAUAUUAAAAAUGUCCAUACCUAGUUCAAAAAGUAGUCUUCCAUUCAUCUCCUUCUUUAAUAUGAACUAAGUUGUAUGCUCCUCAUAGAUCUAUUUUCAUAUAGAUCUUUGCUUGAUUGAGUUGAUCAAGAAGUCUUGAAAUCAAAGGCAAAGGAUACCUAUUUUUUAUGGUGAUCUUAUUGAGUCCUCAAUAAUUCACACAUAUCCAUAGAGAUUCUUCUUUCUUCCUCACAAAUAAGAUAGGAGCUCCCAUUGAAGAUCUAGAAUGGCAUAUGAAGUUCUUUGCCAAAUUCUCAUCAAUAUACUCCCUUACUGCACCCAACUCAUUCUGUAAUAAGCUAUAGAUUGGUCUAAAUCGUGAUUGAGCAAUUCCUUGCAAAUUAAUUGAAUAAUCAUAAGAUCAAUGCUUUGGAAGAAUAUCUAUAUUUUUCUUUUCAAAAAUAGCUUGGAAUUCUUGAUAUUGAUUAAGAAUAUCACUUGAUAUUUUUCCACCAUUAGAAAUAGACAUAGUAUAUAUAACAAAAGAUGAUCCUUCUUUUGCAAUAUGCAUGAAAGCUCUCGCUCCUACCAAUAAAAGUUUAGAUAUACUAGACUUAUAUACUUCUACUUCACUAGCUCAAUCUUAGAUUAUACUACCAAAAAAGUUAAGGUUAUAAGAAAUCCAAUCUAUUUGAGACUUAUAAUUUUUUUUUAUCUACGAUAAUCCUAAAAUAACCAAAUUUGAGGAAGAUCUUAUUACAUUAAAUACUACUAUGCUAUUAUGAUCUUUAAUUGCUACAUCUAAAGAAAUAGUCUUAUGAAUAAUAUUUCUAGAAGAAAACAAAUGACUAUCUAUGACUUUUAUAUGUACAAGUUUUAUUUUCUUGACUAAAGGUGUUUUUUGAUUUUUGACAAAAUCUUUGUUUAUAAAAUAGGCUGAGGCUCCUAAAUCUAAUAAGGCAAAGACAUUGUGAUUUUUAGGUCCUAAACACAUAUCUAUUGUAAAAUAAGGUGAGGGAUUUGAAGAGAGAAUAGGACCUUUACUAAGUGUUGUAUCUGAUUUUAGCCACACGGCCCCUAUUGUAGUUAGAGAAACUCGGUUUUCAACAAAUUAUCUUCUUUGGUAAUUAUGCUCCUCAUUUUGUAAUUGUGUUGCUUCUUUAGAUAAUGUUGAGCAAUGUACUUAGCUUCUCCACAAUAUAAACACAAAUCCUCUUGGUGACAUUGAGUCUUUUUUUGCUCUAUAAGAGGUUUAAAACGUAUCGUAUCAAUAUUCAUUAGUUCCAACCUUGAUGAAUAUGUUUCAAAAAACUUGGGAGUUGCCGCCAUUACUUGACUCGUUCCUCUUUAGUCAAGACUUUGUUCUUGAUGUCUUUCAAAUAACCGCUUGUCACAUGCAAUGGCUUGAGUAAUAAAUUAUUUUAAAUAUUUUACUUUUGGUAUUAUUAAAAAUAAAUCUUUGGCACUAUCCUUCAACCCAUGUCGAAAUUGAUUGAUAAGUGCUUUAUCAUUCUAGUCCACAUCACAAAUAAGAUUUUGGAAUUCAGCAGCAUGUGUAGUAGCUAAUUGUAAUCCGUAUUGUAAAAAUAAGAGUUUUGUCUCUACUACUUGUUCUCGAUCUUGAUCACUUUCUCCAAAUGUGACCAUAAACACUUCUUAGAAUGAAUUUAAAUCAUAAAGAAGUUAUGAAUCCUUUUCCAUCAAAGGUGUAAAUCAAAAAAGGACACUUCUAGAUAGAACUGCACCUAUGAAGCCGACUUGAGUAAAUCCAUCUACAUAUUGGAAAAGGUGUAAUCUUAAAUAGAGCUUCUACUAUUGUAAAAACCCUCAAAAUUUUGAUCUUGUUCCAUCAAACUUCUCGGGCAUACUAAUUCUUGCCUCUCUUCAGCUUGUAGAAGCAAUACUCUUUGAAUUUGGUUGUGAGGCUGACUAACUUGUUUUCCUCAAUUACAAAACUUCUUGAUGUAGACUCUGGACUUCUUCCAUAGGUAUAGAAUUAGUGCUCCCAUGGUUGACGUUGGUGAUGUGUGAAAUUUCUACCCUUAGAAUAUUGACAAGCUCGUGAAGAUCCGCAAUAGUUGUAAAUCUAUUUUCACUUCCAUUAGGGGUAGCAUCCAUAAUCUUUCUUUCUAUAGACAACUCAAACAAAUCCAAAAAGUUAAAUUAGAAGGUAAUCUGCAAUCUUUAAUAAAAAUUUCCACAAAGAGGGAUAAUCCACUCUCUUUAAAGAAAAGAUCAAUGUUAGAAAAUAAGAUUUUUUGUUUAAAGGUGGAUAAUCUACAACCUUCAAAAUAUAGCUAUAGAAGUAAGUUAAUCCAUUCUCUUCUAAAACAAGAUAGAAACAAUAUGUUAGCACUUUUAUUAAACUGUCAAGGACAUAAAUCUCAAAGAAAAAAAAAUCCUCAAUACACUCUUGUAUCACUGAAAAGAGCUAGAAAGUCACUCAAAGAUGAUAUAAUAUUGAAUUAGAAUGGCUAUUGCCAAAAACAAGAAGACUAAAAAGUCUUGAAAUAAGACUAAAGACUAGAAUAGCAUUGACAAGAGUGAAGAAGGCUUCACUCUUGCUUCCUUAUAUACUCUCUAACUAAAAGUUAUAUGGCAAUAUUCUAUAGAACCUCCAACAUGUGUUGAAUUUGCUAACCACAUGUCUUAACUUGCAAAGCAAGUUAUCUAUGUAUGUGCUACAUAGUUAGUUUGUUCCACAAGCUACUACACAAAGUUAACUUAUUCCACAAGCUAUCAACACGUGGUUAACUUAUUGGCCAAGUUUCUAUCCUACAAAUACAUCUAAAGUCAAAACCGCAUCUAUAAAGCUUCUAGAAAGCUUCUCUAGAAGACUUUAUAAAAUUAAUUUAUAUUUAUCUACUUCUACCUAAUCAUAUAAAUAAUUAUUGGGAUAAAUAUAUAUGUCCUUGAUAACUCCAAUAGACUUCUUUCUCUUUUCGUCAACUGUGCCAUAUUAUUGACAUCAUCUCCAAAGAAAAUGAAUGAAUAAAUGACAUCACAAUAGACAAUUGGUUUACCUAAACAUUCACCCACAAGAAUGAAGAAUGUAUUUUUAAGGUGGAGAAUAAUCAUACAAACAGACUUUAAUAUUUUGACUAAAUUGCAGACAAAUAGAUAGAUAGAUAGAUAGAUAGAUAGAUAGAUAUUAAAUAGAUCCAUGUUUUUAUUAAAUAGAUCUGUUUUUAAUAAAGAAUAUAAUAAUCAUGAUAAAUGUGGUUGAUUUCCAUUGGAUGUAGAUCCAAUAGUAGAAAAAUGAAUCUAAAUGUCAUUUUUUUUUUUCAUGAUAGUUAGGAUGUGUAGAUCAAUUUAGUAAAAUUUAAAUCUAUUUAAUAUAUAUAUAUAUAUAUAUAUAUAUAUCAAUAUACACACAUAAUUAUAUCUUUUGAAUUAUAUAAUAUAUAUAUGAGAAUAUUAAAUAGACUUAGAUUUUUACUAAAUUUAUCUAUUUAUAAUGAAGAAUAUAGUAAUCAUGAUGAAUGUGGUUGGUUUUAAUUGGUUUUGGAUCCAAUAAUGGAGAAAUGAAUCUAGAUGUUAUUCUUUUUGUCAUGAUGGGUGGAUCAAUUUAAUAAAAGCCUAGGUCUAUUUAACAUUUCAUUAUAUAUUAUAGAUAGAGUAUUACUUUAUUGGCCCAAAAAUUUACUAAAUUGAUCCACCCAUCCUAACCAUCAUCAAAAAAUUAUCCAAUACCAAAUCUUCAUUGAUAAAAAACCAAUGAAAAAAUAGUUGGAUCCUCAACCAACAAUGAUGACUAGGUCAAUUUAAUAAUUCCCUAUAUAUAUGAAUAUAUAAUAAAAUUUGAGUAAGGAGAAUGAGGCCCCAACCACCCUUUGUAAAGUUGCACAUAAGUGUGUAAGGGUGAUGUUGCACCAAAUGGUUGAAGCCUUCUACUACUACAAUAGAAGUUGAUUGUAAAGUUUGAUGGUCAGAUUCUUACAUUGGAAAUUGGUGGUGGAUUCCAAACUCAUCCUCCUCUGCUUUCCUCGUCACCAGAUUAUGCCACUACUCAGUUUAGAGCUCGAUCAGGGGGCGGUAAUAUACUUAUAUAUACAUAUAUAUAAAUAGAAAUUUGUUGCUGACUGACUGGAGUCAGCUAUGCCAUGUACAUGACCAAGCUUGCUUUUUGAAGGUGCGGUUGUGGUGCGGAGGUUCACAGUUUUUGUGAUCUCAUUUAUUCAUGCCCUUUGUCCCCCUUCAUUCAUUGUGCUGGCCCUUCAGAGAUUUGUGAGUUUGUAAGUGUGUUUUUGUUGCAGUCGUGGUGCGUCUCUGAAACGGAGAUGGUUGGUGUUUUUCGGUGUAGUAAGGGGUUUGUUUCUGGGCGGUUCGGUUCGGUUCGGAUUUGUCGAUAGCUUUUUCAGGGGGGUAUCGCUUUGUGGGUUUGUUUGUUUGUUUGUGCUGUGUCUGUGAAUGUGCAGCGUGUGUGUGUACUGUUUGUUUGUUGGCAGCCUGUUCGCGAGCUUGCCUCUGUUGUAAGCCGUAACUAGUAUCUAUGACAUGACAGUCACUCAGCGCUGUGAGUGUUUUUGGUUUUUUUUGGUUCAGUGAACUAAUUUGCAGUCAGUGUUGAGUUUGUGAUCGUUUUGCACAUAUAAUGUGGUGAAGCUGAGGAUAUGCUUCGGCAUUCGAAUAUGAAGUCACGGCUUGGGAAGGUGCGAGUGCCGAGCUGAGGCGAGGAUUUCGGAGUCGGAGAGCAUGUGAAUCUGUCUCGCUUUUUUUGCACACCUUGAAUAGAAAGGAAACAUUUGCAACUGGGCCUGUUUGUUUGAUUGUUUUUUCUUGUCGGUAAGGGGUCGGUAACAUACUUUAUAGAAGAGCACUUCGGUUGUCUUGCAUGAAGGGAUUAUGAGAAUUUUAGUUUUCUUAAAGAAAUGGGUGGUUGGUUUUGCUUUCUGUGCUCGUUUUUUUUAUGGUUUUGAACUCUGACAUGAGACUUAAGUAAGAUGAUAUUUUUCUCAAUCGUGGAAGAUAGAGGUGGGUUGAUGCUGCCAAAUUUUUAUUAAUUGAAUGUGCAACAGAGAAGUUCACCAUUAGAAUGUAAAACAACCUGUAAUUCACCCUUCCAUUAUAGAUUGUUUUACAAUUGGUGUUGAAAAAUUUGCUUCUUCAAACUCUUACAACAACAAAACAAAAUACCUUGAUGCUUUUUGGAUGAUUCAAUUGUGAUAAAAACUAGUUUAUCACAAUUGAAUUAUCUAAAUAUCUUCAAUGUGUUUUUAUUACAACUAUAGUUUAAAAACAAUCAGUAUUGAAAAUUUCACUUGAUAUGAUAGAAGAUAACAGAAGUUGUAUGAGAUUGGUAUUUGUGAUAAAAUGACUUGUAAACAGAUGUUCUACUAAAUUUAAAGCAUUAAGAACAUUUUUUUUGCUUUAAAGUAGAUACCUUUUGCCUCAUUAUAGAGAAAAGAAAAAUCAAAUUAUAAAUUUUAAUGCAAUUAAUUGAGUACAAUAUUGAAAAACUUAAUUUAAUGUAGACAAUCAAAUCAUGGUUAAUUAGUUUUCUUUUUUAGUUUACUUUUUUACUAAGUCAAUAUAAGAAUUUUGUAAACUAAAAUGAAUAAUUUUUUGAGGUUUUCAGUAAUUUUAAGUACAUAUAAAAAAUCAAAAUAAAACUCAAUUUUAAUGAACAUAGUAGAACAAAUUUAAGUUCUUUUAGUUUAAAAUCUACAAAAUUAUAUUUAUCAAAGUAAUUAUGAAAAAACCUCUUAUAGUAACAAAAUAUUUAUAUUAAAAUGGAACUGUAAAAUAUUUUAAAUUUUAUUAAUGUUCUAAAAUUGUAGUAAAAUAUUAAAAAAACAAGUACAUUCAAAUAAAUAAUUUAAAUUUGGAUUUUUUAAAAUUGGCAUGUUUUUUUAUUCUUGAAUUGAAAAUAUACAAGGUAAUAGGACUAAUCAUAAAUAAAAUAUUUUAAAAAUAUAUAUAUGUAAAGAACAUAAAAUACACCUUAGUAUAUGUAGUUAAUAUUUAGGAAUAAAAUAAUUUUAGAAUAAAAAAGUAAAAAUUUGUUUACAAAAUUGGUCUUUAUAAUUUACUUGAAUUAGUGAACUUAUACUUGAAUUCAAAAAUUACUUAAAUUCUAAUCCUAAAACCUAUAACCUCAUGUAGUAUACUUAAAUUACUAAAUUGCCCUAUUUAAGCAAAUUAAAUCCAAAUACCAAAACUCAUGCUUACAAGUUAACAUUUAUAAAUUAUGGAAUGCAUAAUUUUUUGAAUUAAAUUCUUGUGAGUCUCAUUCUUGUGGGUUAGUUAAAUUUCUUUUUAUAAGUACUUUUAAGUUCUUACAACUAUCAAACUUCUUUAUAGUAUGCUACCAAAAGUUGAGUAUUUUUCUUGACAAUACUUUUAAAUGAUCUAUUUUCACAUUAAUCUAGCACAACUGCUAUUUCCAAGUGGGACAACAAAUAAAUUCGCAUUAUCUGUUUCACACUUAAUACUAACAAGGAGAAUUAGCUAAAUGAAUUAUCUGUUGCUACACAAGCAUGUUUGUUUCUUGUAUCAGCUCUACGACAAACAUCAACCACAAUUAGCAAUUACUGGCAUGUACACAGUUCACAAUUCAACCAAAUCUUUAUUUGAUUUAGCAGUAUUUAUUUAGUAAUGAUGUAUACUAAUGAUAGAGUGCCGUAACUUCCAUAGCAAUGUCCUUUGUUACGGACAUACAUGGGUAUUGACAAAAGUUGUAUAAAAAACAGGAAUGAAAGUAUAAACCUGAAUUGUAAGAAAACACAAAAAAACAGAAAGAAGGUAGGCGAGAUGGUUUUGGCCCAAAUUCCCUUGGGCUCGGGGCAGCAAGCAACCUCAGCCCGACCGGUUAUUACAGAUGCGUCGAAAGCAUUUUAGUGUUAGGAGCCAACAUAACCUGCAGCGUGUGAAGUUUCGACAAAUGAGACACUUUCAAUACAAAUAAUGCAUCCUUUUAUGAUAAUCAUAAUACUGGUCACGUUAUGGGCACAUUCGUUUUAACUCAACUCUAGAGUAACUAACGUAAUAAUUGUUGCAAGGUCGAGACACAGUUUGGCAGAUUUCCACAUAGCCCGUUGUCAGCUCUAGAAAUGACUAACUGCAGUUUGAUUCUUCUGCUGAAUACAUGAUGGAGUGUCGAAGUUAACAGCUACUCCACCCAAGUGUCAGGGUCCCACCCUCUCAUUGCCUAAACCUCAAUUGCUACCAGGUGAGCAUUACCCAGUGUGACAGCGCGUAGGUCCAUCUUUUCUUGGCUGCUGUGCCCACCUGCAGAGAGGUUAUUACCACUGCACUACUCUCGAAUGCAACCCUGAGUUAAAUUGGUCAGAGUGAGUAGUGAGGCUGAGGGGCUGAGAGCAACCCCCACGGCAAUCCAUCCCACUGAUUAAUCGUUUGGGGUCUUUUUCUCGUGCGAAGCUCACGGGUCGAUCGUCAAGCAAUAAGGAAAGUGGCGAGGAAGCUCCAGCGUUUCUUGUUGAUGUGAGACCUUACGGAGAAAAGACUGUCCAAGGACGUAUCCAAGAGCUGUUGCAACAGGCACCGCAACUGCAUUGCCUACUUGCAUGUAUCUGGCAACCCCCCGGUCAUAACGCAUGUUAAGGGCAUCUUCAAAACAAAACAGCAUUGAACAUGAUUUGUGAACAAGAGAUGGAAGCCAGACAUACCGUUGCUUGAUUGGACCAAAUAACUUGUAGUAGUCAGAAAAUCCUUGUAGUCGGGCAUUCUCUCUGAUAGUCAGCACGCGAUCCUGCUCAGGAUGAAGAAUGAUCUGCAAUCAAUAUAUAAGAGAUCGUUAAAGAUAGUUCUUAGACAGACGAACGGAUUUAGUUUCAAGUUGUCGUUGCGAGGUUAGAAGUCUUCAAAUUUGGCCAGUCACAAAUCUGUGGGGUUGACAAAGACAUCCUAAAACUGGUCUAUUCACAGAAUCCAUGGUAGCACCUGAUUAUGAGGCUCUGCUCGUGUAACAACGGUUGGAACUGUCUCAUCCCACCACAAUCUUCCGAAGGGUCUGCAAAAUCAGCAAUAAGAAGUCAGAUUCCAACCUUCCCGUGAUCGGAGAUAGAAGUAAAUGACUGGGAGGAGGAAAAGGAGGAGGAGACGAACAACAACAAAAAAAUAUACUUCACCAAAAUACUUGAAAACUUUGAAAAUAUCCCCAGAUAAGUUAAAAAGGCAUACUUGAAAGAGCGUCCACGUAUGAAACUAAUAGCAUAGUCUGGCACCUGCAUGUCGAAUGCAGAGAUUAGUAGCUCACGCAGAAGAUAAUCCAAGCAGAUACGUCACGUUAAAAAGGUAGCAAUGAACUCAAAAUUCAUCGAUCCUGAAACCACACAAAUGUGCGGAUUACAUACCAAGGGCUUGCCCGAUUUCAGAAGUUCGCGCGGCUCCCUGACCACAUCCACAGUCACUCCAUCCGCUUUAAUGAUUAUGCCCUUCAAAUCUCUAAAAUUCGCUCCCUGCCAGACAACGUCGUUAAUCAUGCAAGUUUUCAUGCUUAAAGAAUAACAUUCCGUGUACUUCUGAUAUUGCUCCACCAGUGUUGUUCUGUUCUAAAAGUAGUUAGUUGAAAACAACUGCUUAAGAAGCAAGAGCUGGCAGGUGUAACAAAAGUAGGGGAUAAGAAUCAGAGAUUUAGCUUACUAACGAUAAAUGAACAUACCUUUUUUUUCGGGAUUUGUUUCACGCGUUCAUAGUCAUCUGCAUUCAAGCAAAGAGGUCGAUGAUCUGGAAGGAUAGCUUUUUUCUUUUGUUGUGGACCAAGACUGCCUAGACCACCAGUUCCUGCACUCAUCCGAACAUGAAAUCGAGUUUCUUCAAUGCAAUUCUUCUAGAAUAAUCAGUAAUUGAAGUUUUCAUCAUCUGCAUAAUCAGCAACUAUUGAACUAUUUGCAUACUAAGUGCUCAAAAUAUAGCAACGUCAGAUACCUUUCUUUGGUAAGCGCAGGAAGUGUUGAAAAUCACAUUGCGGCUCCUCGUCGUAUGAAAUGUCAUCUUUGCUUUGAUCAUUCCCAACCUACAGCAAAAAAAUACAAUUAUUUCACCCAAAAAACCAUUGCAUGUGAUUUCGAAUAACACGUUCAGCUCCACGUCUAUGCAAAAAGGUUUUGGACAAGGAAAUGCUUACAGCAGGAAGAUCAGAAAGUGCAUCCUUGAGCACAAGAGGUAGCUGUAACCAUUCAGGUUGCUUGUUCUCUUCAUAAGCAACUAAACAUCUCUGCGUCAAAAAAAAAAGAAAAAACAACAUUGAACGAUCACAACUUCAGCGGGAAAAGCUAAAGUCAAUUGUCAUCUAAACCGAAAGAAUCUGCACCGCAAGUAAAACUAGCGUCAAUGAGAUCCUUACCUCCCAUUUCUGUGGGAAACCACCACGUACGAUAACCUUAUGUGUGGGCAUUGGAUAGGGCGGAAGUAUCUGCAAUCAAAUGCAUUAUUCAUUUCAACAAUUAUGAGAACACUUUUCUGAUGUCUAACUUUACUGACAAAACACAAGCUACAUCCCAAGGUAUCAUUUAACAUCUCAAAUUUCAGAUCAUGAACUGAAAUAUCCAUAUUAAUGUAAACACUUUUUCAUAGAAAAUAGGUAUAUAUUUUGAAUAGGUAAUGUUCAAAAGCAUUUCAAAAGAGAGUAAUAGGGAAAGAUAGCAUGACAAGGCUGACCUCGUCACUAGCCGCUCCCCACAAAAAGCAUCGCGCUCUAAAUUGAGGCAUUCCGUAGCACCCAGCGACCAUGAUGCCAACUUUUGACUGCACAAAGUUCAGAAACCCAUGAACAACAAGAUUGAGCUCCAAUAAAAUUUGGAUGAAAAGAAACGGUAUUGGUCUGUAUGUGAGGUAAGUCAACAUUUCAAGCAUCUUAACACCAAGAACUGAAUCCGAAUCACUAUCUCAAGACCCAGAAGAACUUCCAUGUAACCCUCACAAGCAAAAAUAUCACAUCAUGAUGAAUUUUGAAUCAUGCUCUGUGGGGCUAAGCUAUACCUGGUAAUUCAUUCCCACAGCUCUUGCAAGAGCAUAGCGCCCCAGUAUGCCAUCACAAAACUUGAGAAUAUCAACAACGUUUUCCAUGAUGAAAAAUCUAGGACGCAAGAAAUCAACGAUGUCCAUAUACACAACCAUCUGCUUGUUCCUUGGAUCUGCCAAAGGAUCUACUCUGUUCCGAAACCGGUUGAAUCCACUGGCGCCUUGGCAAGGAGGGCCUCCACAGAUAACAUCACAAUCACCCUAGAAUACGGAAAAAGUUCAAUAAGCAACAACAUUAGCAAAUAUGAACUGCAAUUGAAGUGACUCCAAAUGUUACACCGGUCCAAACUAUUGAUGGCAUCAAUACAAUACACAGGACGAACUCUAAGAAUCCACACCCCACAUUCCCAAUCCUAAUCAGAACUUCCAGGAAUCUACUCAACACAAAAAACUCAUCAACAUCAAACGCAUAAAAAAAUAAGGUGUGGUAACAUACAGGAAGUGGAAGUAGCUUUUGUCUCCUCCCUUCUAAUACGAACUCCUUCACACGUUCUGGGCAGUGACUGUAUGCAUCCCAGCGAAGAGACAGUCAGCGGACAUUAUACAGCCACAGUUCGUGACAUGGUUCUAAUCCACUUAGCCUACUCUGCAGGCCUAUACCAUCAUCGUUUCAGUAUUAUCCAUGCCAUAAAACGAUUAACGUAAAGAAAUAUUACUCCAAACUUGCAGCUGGUUCCCAUGUAUCGUCCUCAGGAGCAUAACCCUUCCACCUGACCUGAAGAACCACCAAACAUAUAAGCAGCACGACUUUGUAAGCAUAACUUUCUGGAAGAAUAUUAUGCAGUAACUGCUGGUGAACCACAUCCAAAGAGUCGCAAGAUACUAGCAUUACCAUAACUGCAGCAAAAAAUCUACCCAAAAACCUCGACACGUAGCAGUGGAAAAGGACUAUCGUCUGUCUCAAAACUCGUGUUAAAAUAAAUGCUGAACAGGAGCUUACCUUGAACUCGAGACCUUUGGUUAGAGGAACCUCAGCGUCCUUCUCAAUUUUUUCUUUCUUGGGGGUCUUCGGGGUUUUAGGAGUCUUCGCAGUUGGGACCUCUUCAUUAUCCACCACGUCAUCCACUUGCUCCAUAACCUCUUUGUCUUUCUCGCUUACUUCUCCAACCCACCGUAUUCCGAGAAGUCGCUCCACUUCAUACUCCCCUGCUGCCGGGUCAUCAUCUCCAUCUUCAUCUUCUUCACUGUCCUCCUGCACAACACAUCCUACCGGAUACUUCUCGCACAAUUUCUUCCACUCUUUCAGCAACUGCAGGUAAUCUUCAGCAGCUUCGUUUCGGACCUGCAGACAGCAAUAUUUAAGAUAGGUACACCUUCGUCACAGUCAAAUGGAAAGGAGCUCAAGAGUUCUUUAGUUCUAAAAGUUGUGUCCAAAAUAUUUAAAGCCAAAUCAACAUUAGAAGCAACCACAAUUUGUUAACAAUAAAUGACUAAGAUCAAAUAUGCAGAGACCCAGGUACAACUCGUGAUGAAUCCCAGGUGCACAACAUACAAUGCCAAAGAAUAAUAACUUACAGUGGUUUCUGGGUGAUUAUACUUUAAUGACAUACAUGCAAACUCGUUCAGGUCCACGGCCCAUUUCUGCAGAAGAGAGCUAAUAGCUUAAAAAUUGCACACAUCUAGUAACGAUCAAGAAAAGAAGGAAUCCGGACGGAAAAACAAACUGAGGUACAGCACGUAUAUAGCAGGCAAACAAGGGGCAAUCUCCUAUCAAGACAUGCAUUAAAAUGGCUGCAUAAGGAAGAAGAUACUAUAGAGAGAGGCAACACAUGAAGGUGACGUACCGUAACAAGAUUAAUGCCUGCUAGGUUCAUCCCUAGACAUAUUCCAGUCGACAUGGCACCACACCCACAGUACAGAUCAAGAAGAUAGAAAUCUUUCUUGUCGUUAGAGUCGCUGCAUGAAUUAUCCGAUUCCGUGGACUUAGACCCGCUCUUCGAUGCAAUAGUGUUUUCCGUGAUGUGGAAUUUGUUCUCCGCUUGGGCUAGUCCAGGGGGCUCUGCAGCGAAAAUGAGGUUCAAAUCAAACGGUACACUAAUAGAAACAACAUUUGAUUAAAAGCCAGUCCUAUGAAACCGCCAUAUACCAUUUCUUCAAUCCAAACGGUUACUAAAUGUCCAAGGACUAAAUACAUACACCAAUUCAUUAUCGACGGAAAUCGACGGCAACCACUUCAAACACAGAAACCACAAACACUGACCAGGCAAAUCUUUUGGGAGCGUGUAAAAAGUCCCAUACUGAAACAUAUAUCCUUUAUCAAAGUAAUAAUCACAGGCCGGAGUCUUUAUUGGUGAUCUGUCGGAUCGAUCCUGCCACCACACAAGAUUGCAAGCAAAACAAUGAGAUUUGAACUCGAGUUCCUGGAACACGCUACCACUAGCCGCACGCUAUCACGCAACCACGGACUUUGAUGUGAGUAAGAAACCUGACGCAAAUUCUCUGCAUCCGCCGACAUUUGGUCUUCAAGCUUGAAACAGAACCACCAAAAAAAUCCGCAUAACAUCAAUGCAACCGUUCAUAUCAGAGCAGGGUGCCAACAUAGGUAGUCGGGUGAGUAAGCGUCAUCAUCGUGCGGCCUACCUUUGAGGCAAUUCUAAUAACAGAUACUUUCCCCACAAUCACAUGCAGUUCGUUUUCAUCCGCCACUUCAGAAUAGUAGAUUUUCUUCGGGUCGUGAUUCCGGCCUUCUUUACCCAUCAACUGUGACAUAUGACCGCCACAAUAUGUGAGUGCAAUAAACUAUCUGACGAAAACAUGAGGUAUGAAACUUUGCUCGAAUACACCAGACUCACUACGCAGAAGACCACCAGCUCAGGCAAGCAUCCAUUUGCAACUUACGGUGUCAUACGAUCUGAAGAACCACUGCGCAUGAAACCAUGGAGACUUAUCUUCCUUCUCAUAGAACUCGGUAAUUCUUCCUAUGAAGGGGUCCUCCAAGCCAGACUGCCCACGUGCCAAAACAAGUCAUUAUCGUCAAAAAUUGAUAUAGGUUUGUCAUACCGCAGGCAUAGCGAGAAAUACAGAACACCUUGCGCCAUUCACACCAUUGAAUGAAGUGUUGAUAAGAUUUCUGGCACCACAGAUGUAGUCACCACGACAUCCUUGGCGACACCAAGUUCAGCAAUAGGACAAUGCAGCCAAGAACUAUUCUUCGAUCACAAUGCACAUGAGAAGUGUGUCGUGAUGUAUAUAAGGAUGGUGCAUGAAGGUCGGUGGAGAUGGGAUCCCUUUUACAAUGAGGUUUACCCCCAAACUGAGAAGAGAGAGGAUCAGGAAGAAACUAACAUGAACGUGGACACAAUCGCCUAGCUUAUACAGUUUCCCCUCCACCUCAGCCUGCCGGUAAUGUGCGAUUACAGCAAGCGGUUGCUCUUCCACAGUCUGCGUCCUGAUCUCAGUCUUCAAGAAAUAAGCAUCAAAAAUAAAAAUGAAGUUGCAAAUGAUAAAAGGCAAUUAGGUUCAAAUCCUUCAAAUAGUACAAAUGUAUUAACGACGGAGCCGAAGUACUGAAAGUUCCAGCAGGUCACAUUCAAAUUCAUCGCGCUCGACAUUAGCUAGCUC